Molecule: ribosomal RNA, 323 nt
Filed under: uncultured eukaryote
Lineage: Eukaryota
Description: partial 18S ribosomal RNA
Rfam family: Eukaryotic small subunit ribosomal RNA
Source: RNAcentral
CCCCUAGAUGUUCUGGGCCGCACGCGCGCUACACUGAACAGUUCUACAAGUCUUAACCUUGGCCGAUAGGUCUGGGUAAUCUUUGAACGCUGUUCGUGAUUGGGAUAGACCUUUGCAAUUAUGGGUCUUCAACGAGGAAUUCCUAGUAAACGCAAGUCAUCAGCUUGCAUUGAUUACGUCCCUGCCCUUUGUACACACCGCCCGUCGCACCUACCGAUUGAAUGGUCCGGUGAAUAAUUCGGACCGUUCCUCAUAAGAGUCUCUCUUUGAGGAGUGGAAAGUUUGGUGAACCACAGCACAUAGAGGAAGGAGAAGUCGUAACA